This 253-nucleotide ribosomal RNA is filed under the name uncultured bacterium. RNAcentral's name for it is "partial 16S ribosomal RNA". It matches the Rfam family "Bacterial small subunit ribosomal RNA", at positions 524 to 776 of the family's 1533-position model. The record is from RNAcentral.
UACGAAGGGGGCUAGCGUUGCUCGGAAUGACUGGGCGUAAAGGGCGCGUAGGCGGUUCGUACAGUCAGACGUGAAAUUCCUGGGCUUAACCUGGGGGCUGCAUUUGAUACGUGUUGUCUAGAGUGAGGAAGAGGGUCGUGGAAUUCCCAGUGUAGAGGUGAAAUUCGUAGAUAUUGGGAAGAACACCGGUGGCGAAGGCGGCGACCUGGUCCUUUACUGACGCUGAGGCGCGAAAGCGUGGGGAGCAAACAGG